GCCGCCCUAGCUCAGUUGGUAGAGCGCCACUUUUGUAAAGUGGAUGUCGUCAGUUCGAAUCUGACGGGCGGCU
RNAcentral lists this transfer RNA (73 nucleotides) under Candidatus Tayloriibacteriota bacterium. Its description in RNAcentral is "tRNA-Thr". It matches the Rfam family "tRNA". From Rfam's summary of the family: Transfer RNA (tRNA) molecules are approximately 80 nucleotides in length. Their secondary structure includes four short double-helical elements and three loops (D, anti-codon, and T loops). Further hydrogen bonds mediate the characteristic L-shaped molecular structure. tRNAs have two regions of fundamental functional importance: the anti-codon, which is responsible for specific mRNA codon recognition, and the 3' end, to which the tRNAs corresponding amino acid is attached (by aminoacyl-tRNA synthetases). tRNAs cope with the degeneracy of the genetic code in two manners: having more than one tRNA (with a specific anti-codon) for a particular amino acid; and 'wobble' base-pairing, i.e. permitting non-standard base-pairing at the 3rd anti-codon position. The record is from RNAcentral. Lineage: Bacteria; Candidatus Tayloriibacteriota.